Long non-coding RNA from Pipistrellus kuhlii (Kuhl's pipistrelle), 629 nucleotides. RefSeq lists it as uncharacterized. The transcript is spliced from 2 exons. The record is from RefSeq and is a predicted model, not a curated record. NCBI's taxonomy places the organism in Eukaryota, Metazoa, Chordata, Mammalia, Chiroptera, Vespertilionidae.
UUUUAAAAUCCUGGCAGGGCCAACACCUGUGGACUGACCCCUCCCAUACUCGGUGCUCUGUAAACACAGGUUGAAAUGCUGUCCUGGGAUGCCCUUCAUCUCACUUCCAUUUCUAGCACCCACUCCCCCAAACCCGGGGCUCCACCAUGUUCCCCAAGGGAGAGAAAUGGAGGUGAAGUUAAGAGGAAAGCUUGCUGCUUUCCUGUGAAGAACAACCGCCGACAUGCACAUCUUAGGACAGCAUGUCUCCGUGGCCUUGAGCCCUGCACCGCACACAGGGGCUUCACUGAACAGUAUCCUCUUGCCUGCCUCUUUCACAAAACCUUAUGCUUCCCGAGGGCAGGGGCCACACCUGCCCAUCACCGGGCAUGGGUGCCCCACAAACCCCAAAUGGUGCAGAGGUUGAGGGUGGCCUCUUGACCUUAGAGGAUGACUCGACUUCUUUAAACUUCAGUUUUCCCAUCGGUACAAUGGGGGCCACCUUGCAGAGCUGCUGCGAGGUUUCAGUGGGGUAAUGCAAGGGAAGUGACUGGCCUGGUGAACUGAAAUGAACAAACAGGUGGAAAGUUACCUGCAAAGAGUCAUCUGCUUAGCACCUUUGCUACAUUGAGUCUGCGCAGUGAUUCGUG